RNAcentral lists this ribosomal RNA (1341 nucleotides) under uncultured bacterium. RNAcentral's name for it is "partial 16S ribosomal RNA". It matches the Rfam family "Bacterial small subunit ribosomal RNA", at positions 28 to 1381 of the family's 1533-position model. The record is from RNAcentral.
GACGAACUCUGGCGGCGUGCUUAACACAUGCAAGUCGAACGGAAAGGCCUUGCUUGGCUGCUACUCCACUGGUGAACAGCUGAUUAACACCUGGGUGAUCAUCCCUGCUCUUCUUCAUAAUCCUGUUAAACUGCUUCUACUACCACAUAAUAGCCCUUUUUAUUGUGAUGGUUGGAAAAUUUUUUCUUCGUAGGAUGAUCUCCUCGCCUAUCAUCUUGUUGGUGGGGUAAUGAUCUACUACCGCGGCGACGACUAGCCGGCCUGAUAAGAUGGACGACCGCCUUGUUACUAAUAUACUGCCCACACUACUCCUGCAGGAAGCAGUGGUGAAUAUUGUUCAAUGGUGGCAAGACUGAUGCUGCAACGCCGCCUGGUGGAUGACGAACUUCUUCUUGUAAACUCCUUUCUUUAACGACGACGAUUUUUGUGACACUACCUAUAUAAAAAACACCCCCUAUCUAUAUGUCACCACCCCCGCUAAUACAUAUGGUGCGAGAGUUGUCUCGGAAUUACUGUGCGUAUAGGGAUCUCAUAUGGGUUGUCUCGUCUCCUCUGAAAUUCUCGGGCUUAUCUCCGCGCGUGUACGCGAUAUACGCAUUAAUUGAAUACUGUAAGGGUAAAUCGAAUUUCUUGUGUAACCGUGAAAUGCCCCAAUAUCAAGAAGAACACCCAAUGGCAAAGCAAGGUAUUGGGCAGUUACUGACGCUGAGGAGCGAAAGCAUGGGUAGCGAACAGGAUUAGAUACCCUGGUAGUCCAUGCCGUAAACGGUGGGCGCUAAGUGUGAGGGUGUUUUCACGUCUUUCGUGCCGUAGCUAACGCAUUAAGCGCCCCGCCUGGGGAGUACGGCCGCAAGGCUAAAACUCAAAGGAAUUGACGGGGGCCCGCACAAGCGGCGGAGCAUGUGGAUUAAUUCGAUGCAACGCGAAGAACCUUACCUGGGCUUGACAUACAGUGGAUCGCUGCAGAGAUGUAGUUUCCCUUUGUGGUUGGUGUACAGGUGGUGCAUGGUUGUCGUCAGCUCGUGUCGUGAGAUGUUGGGUUAAGUCCCGCAACGAGCGCAACCCUUGUCUUAUGUUGCCAGCAUUUGGUUGGGGACUCAUGAGAGACUGCCGGGGUCAACUCGGAGGAAGGUGGGGAUGACGUCAAAUCAUCAUGCCCCUUAUGUCCAGGGCUUCACACAUGCUACAAUGGUCGGUACAACGCGCAGCGACACUGUGAGGUGGAGCGAAUCGCUGAAAGCCGGCCUUAGUUCGGAUUGGGGUCUGCAACUCGACCCCAUGAAGUCGGAGUCGCUAGUAAUCGCAGAUCAGCAACGCUGCGGUGAAUACGUUCCCGGGCCU